AGAUUGAACGCUGGCGGCAGGCCUAACACAUGCAAGUCGAGCGGUAGAGAGGUGCUUGCACCUCUUGAGAGCGGCGGACGGGUGAGUAAUGCCUAGGAAUCUGCCUAGUGGUGGGGGAUAACGUUCGGAAACGGACGCUAAUACCGCAUACGUCCUACGGGAGAAAGCGGGGGACCGUUCGGGCCUCGCGCCAUUAGAUG
RNAcentral lists this ribosomal RNA (200 nucleotides) under uncultured soil bacterium. RNAcentral's name for it is "partial 16S ribosomal RNA". It matches the Rfam family "Bacterial small subunit ribosomal RNA", at positions 26 to 227 of the family's 1533-position model. The record is from RNAcentral.